Long non-coding RNA from Anolis carolinensis (green anole), 1246 nucleotides. RefSeq lists it as uncharacterized. The transcript is spliced from 2 exons. Lineage: Eukaryota; Metazoa; Chordata; Lepidosauria; Squamata; Anolidae. The record is from RefSeq and is a predicted model, not a curated record.
AACCUGGACAGCCUCCUUAGUGACAGGUGGGAAGGAGUGACAGAGCUGGACAUCAUCUGCGUACAGAUGACACCGCACCCCAAAACUCCGGAUGAUCUCUCCCAACGGCUUCAUGUAGAUGUUAAACAACAUGGGAGAUAACACAGAGCCCUGCGGGACCCCACAAGUCAACGGUUGUGGGGCCGAGCAGGCAUCCCCCAAUGACACCAUCUGGGACCGACCCUCCAGGAAUGAGUGGAGCCACUGCAGGACAGUACCUCCAAGUCCCAUUCCCGCGAGGCGUCCCAGAAGGAUACCGUGAUCGACGGUAUCGAAGGCCGCUGAGAGGUCCAGCAGAACCAGCAGGGACACACUCCCCCUGUCCAGUUCCCGGCGCAGAUCAUCGACUAAGGCGACCAAGGCUGUCUCGGUACCAUGCCCCGGCCUAAAGCCAGACUGUGCCGGAUCCAGAAAAUCAGUGUCAACCAAGAAUCCCUGGAGCUGCGAAGCAACCACAUGUUCCAAGACCUUGCCCAAAUAGGGGAGAUUGGAAAUAGGCCGAAAGUUUCCGAAUUGAGUGGGAUCCAAUGAUGGCUUGAGUCUUCUCUUUCACCUUGUUAAUUUCAUCCCAGCAAGGCAGUCCAUAAAGAAAAGGCUUUGGUGUAGGAAUACCACACUUUUGAGGAUAGAAAACAAGACCCAUUGUAAUGCAUCAUAGGUGAAUGGCCUGGUGUUCCCAUGGUGAUGCCUUGUGGAGUCAACCUGUGUCAUAAUGGACAGUUGACCUAUAAAGAGCCCUGAAGUAAACUGUAUGCCCCAGAGGACUUUGGGCUGCUUCAACAUUCAGUUGGGCCUCCUGCUGCUCUUCUAGAUCUUACAUGCCUUAAUACCUACCCAACGAAAAUGGCACGAUUCCAGAGCAGCAGGAGUAACAUUAACACAAUGCAUUGCCGCUGGAUGAGGAAAGCAAGACGUGGUGGUGGCGGCUCUGGGCGGAGGAAGAAAGGGAAAGGUCGGAGAAGAGGUGGCCGGAAAAGAGGGUCCUGCAAAGGCGGGAGAGGAAGAAGAGGGAGAAGACGCUAAACUUCCGGAUGGCUUGUCACUACCCUGUGAACAGCAAAGUAAAAGGCUAUUGCCCUGUUCAGUCUCUUCUCUAAGAUGCUGAAGUCCAUCCCUGUCAGACUCUUCGUUAUUACCACUUAACAACUUUCUGGCCACUUACUUGAGACUGAAUAGUGUCCUCUUGUUAAUAAACUCUGAAAUAUCA